UACGUAGGGGGCAAGCGUUAUCCGGAUUUACUGGGCGUAAAGGGAGCGUAGACGGCAAAGCAAGUCCGGAGUGAAAGCCCGGGGCCCAACCCCGGGACUGCUCUGGAAACUGUUAAGCUGGAGUGCGGGAGGGGCAGGCGGAAUUCCUGGUGUAGCGGUGAAAUGCGUAGAUACCAGGAGGAACACCGGCGGCGAAGGCGGCCUGCUGGACCGUGACUGACGUUGAGGCUCGAAAGCGUGGGGAGCAAACAGG
RNAcentral lists this ribosomal RNA (253 nucleotides) under uncultured bacterium. RNAcentral's name for it is "partial 16S ribosomal RNA". It matches the Rfam family "Bacterial small subunit ribosomal RNA", at positions 524 to 776 of the family's 1533-position model. The record is from RNAcentral.